GACGAACGCUGGCGGCGUGCUUAACACAUGCAAGUCGAACGGAAAGGCCCUGCUUUUGUGGGGUGCUCGAGUGGCGAACGGGUGAGUAACACGUGAGUAACCUGCCCUUGACUUUGGGAUAACUUCAGGAAACUGGGGCUAAUACCGGAUAGGAGCUCCUGCUGCAUGGUGGGGGUUGGAAAGUUUCGGCGGUUGGGGAUGGACUCGCGGCUUAUCAGCUUGUUGGUGGGGUAGUGGCUUACCAAGGCUUUGACGGGUAGCCGGCCUGAGAGGGUGACCGGCCACAUUGGGACUGAGAUACGGCCCAGACUCCUACGGGAGGCAGCAGUGGGGAAUAUUGCACAAUGGGCGGAAGCCUGAUGCAGCAACGCCGCGUGCGGGAUGACGGCCUUCGGGUUGUAAACCGCUUUCGCCUGUGACGAAGCGUGAGUGACGGUAAUGGGUAAAGAAGCACCGGCUAACUACGUGCCAGCAGCCGCGGUGAUACGUAGGGUGCGAGCGUUGUCCGGAUUUAUUGGGCGUAAAGGGCUCGUAGGUGGUUGAUCGCGUCGGAAGUGUAAUCUUGGGGCUUAACCCUGAGCGUGCUUUCGAUACGGGUUGACUUGAGGAAGGUAGGGGAGAAUGGAAUUCCUGGUGGAGCGGUGGAAUGCGCAGACAUCAGGAGGAACACCAGUGGCGAAGGCGGUUCCCUGGGCCUUUCCUGACGCUGAGGAGCGAAAGCGUGGGGAGCGAACAGGCUUAGAUACCCUGGUAGUCCACGCUGUAAACGGUGGGUACUAGGUGUGGGGUCCAUUCCACGGGUUCCGUGCCGUAGCUAACGCUUUAAGUACCCCGCCUGGGGAGUACGGCCGCAAGGCUAAAACUCAAAGGAAUUGACGGGGCCCCGCACAAGCGGCGGAGCAUGCGGAUUAAUUCGAUGCAACGCGUAGAACCUUACCUGGGUUUGACAUGGAUCGGGAGUGCUCAGAGAUGGGUGUGCCUCUUUUGGGGUCGGUUCACAGGUGGUGCAUGGCUGUCGUCAGCUCGUGUCGUGAGAUGUUGGGUUAAGUCCCGCAACGAGCGCAACCCUUGUUCACUGUUGCCAGCACGUUAUGGUGGGGACUCAGUGGAGACCGCCGGGAUCAACUCGGAGGAAGGUGGGGAUGACGUCAAGUCAUCAUGCCCCUUAUGUCCAGGGCUUCACGCAUGCUACAAUGGCUGGUACAGAGAGUGGCGAGCCUGUGAGGGUGAGCGAAUCUCGGAAAGCCGGUCUCAGUUCGGAUUGGGGUCUGCAACUCGACCUCAUGAAGUCGGAGUCGCUAGUAAUCGCAGAUCAGCAACGCUGCGGUGAAUACGUUCCCGGG
This 1343-nucleotide ribosomal RNA is filed under the name uncultured bacterium. RNAcentral's name for it is "16S ribosomal RNA". It matches the Rfam family "Bacterial small subunit ribosomal RNA", at positions 28 to 1378 of the family's 1533-position model. The record is from RNAcentral.